Long non-coding RNA from Megalobrama amblycephala (Wuchang bream), 1561 nucleotides. RefSeq lists it as uncharacterized. The transcript has 3 exons. Lineage: Eukaryota; Metazoa; Chordata; Actinopteri; Cypriniformes; Xenocyprididae. The record is from RefSeq and is a predicted model, not a curated record.
AUAGUCUACGAAAACUGAAGUUAUGAAUUCCUCUUUUGUUCUUGAAUUAAUUUAAAAAUUGACACGCUAUUAGGAUAUUUGUUCUUACCUUUUUCAUAUGUAAACGCGUAAUCUUAAUGUAGCCUACAUUUACACAUAAAUGUGUAAUUUACUAGCAAAAAGUCGCUUUCAUUGUUGAAUCUGAGUGGAUUCUCAGUCACUGACCCAACAAGUUUUCCUUGAGUUUAUUGACAGGACAACCGUAUCGAUCUGCUAAACUUCCCAAAUACUGCGUAUGUUGGCGCCACUGUAUCAGAUUAUAACCUGUCAGCCGUUUUCCUCUGAAAGUUAAACAACCAGACAAUGUGCCAUUCUGAGAGACUGUACUGUGUCUUUCUGAAUGUUGCGCGGAAGAUCAGGCCAGUGCCCGUGGUGCUGUCAGUUGUGACAGUUCCCAGAUGGAGGCCGCUACUGUAUGCGAGAUUGAGUUUCUCACAGAAACAACUCCCUCUUCUUCCAAACCGUCCUCCAAAAGUUCUUCAGGCACUCUUGCGCCCCGACGCCUCAAACAUCGGUAACGCGGAAAGAAUGAGCGGAGUUUUGAAGGAAUAAAGACGCUUCGCCCCAUCAGGGUAUGCUUGACUAGAAGAGAUGGCAAUACAUCUUGCGCGUGACGAGCUAGUGGCAGGAUCACUGAUGGUUACUACGGCAUUCCAAUUUACAAAGGGUGCCCUCUAUUUUACACCGCAAAGCCUUCCCAGCAUGGAUCACAUUGGAUUUUUCAGUUUGUGUUCCUCUUCACAUUCAAAGCGUUUUCCGAAUGAUUUAUUUCUUUAGCACAAGCACUGCUUCGUUUGCAAUGUUUCAUUUUCACAAAUAUUUGGCGGGAUGAGGUGCAAGCUUCAAGGAUUCGAAGACCAAGGGACAAUGAUAAGGAUAUUGAGUACAUUCACCGUGUUGCCAGUAGGCCUAUGCGGGUUGCAUAUCGGGAAGCUGCGCUUUUGGGACAUUCGCCAAAUCCAUAUUUUCAUCAGCAUGCAAAGCUCAGACUAUUCCCCGUUAAACAUAUUCAGUUCCUCUGAAUUUACAGCUGUUUACAACAAUCAAACCACUUCUUUGACUGUAUACCCAAAUCAGUGUAUUUCAUUUAUUUACCUCUUUAUUCUUUUGAUCCAUUUAUUAUCUGACCAUUAUCUUUUUUUCUGUAUGUAUAGCCUAUUACAUUACUGUCAUUGGUAAAAUUAAAACUAUACUGAUAUAUUAAAAUCACACUGUAUCGACUGGACUGCAACGAUUACAUAUUUUCGUAUUUAGCCUACAUAGGCUAUGUAUUUAUUUACAUACAUGUCUGUUUUGUCAUACUGUUCUACGUAAUUUAUUUUGAUGUGUUAUAUGUUUCUUUAUUCACUUAUCUUUGUUUUUUAUUUAUAUUGCGUGUUACUGUUGUUCUGUGCACUGUAAGCUUCUUCUGUCACCGAGACAAAUUCCUUGUUUGUGUAAACAUACUAGGCAAUAAAUCUCAUUCUGAUUCUGAUAUAAAGUUUAGGUGUAAUUUUGAGUUUGUCCUGCAAAUGAUUGCAUA